UUCCUGGUGGUCCAGUGGCUAAGACACCAUACUUCCAAUGUAGGGGGCCUGGGUUCGAUCCCUAGUCAGGGAG
Transfer RNA from Ovis aries (sheep), 73 nucleotides. It matches the Rfam family "tRNA". Rfam says of the family: Transfer RNA (tRNA) molecules are approximately 80 nucleotides in length. Their secondary structure includes four short double-helical elements and three loops (D, anti-codon, and T loops). NCBI's taxonomy places the organism in Eukaryota, Metazoa, Chordata, Mammalia, Artiodactyla, Bovidae. The record is from Rfam.